UGAUCCAGCCAUGCCGCGUGUGUGAAGAAGGCUUUCGGGUUGUAAAGCACUUUCAGCGAGGAAGAAAGCCUCUGGAUUAAUACCCCAGAGGAAGGACAUCACUCGCAGAAGAAGCACCGGCUAACUCCGUGCCAGCAGCCGCGGUAAUACGGAGGGUGCGAGCGUUAAUCGGAAUUACUGGGCGUAAAGCGCGCGUAGGUGGCUUGGCACGCCGGUUGUGAAAGCCCCGGGCUCAACCUGGGAACGGCAUCCGGAACGGCCAGGCUAGAGUGCAGGAGAGGAAGGUAGAAUUCCCGGUGUAGCGGUGAAAUGCGUAGAGAUCGGGAGGAAUACCAGUGGCGAAGGCGGCCUUCUGGCCUGACACUGACACUGAGGUGCGAAAGCGUGGGUAGCAAACAGGAUUAGAUACCCUGGUAGUCCACGCCGUAAACGAUGUCGACUAGCCGUUGGGACCUUUAAGGACUUAGUGGCGCAGUUAACGCGAUAAGUCGACCGCCUGGGGAGUACGGCCGCAAGGUUAAAACUCAAAUGAAUUGACGGGGGCCCGCACAAGCGGUGGAGCAUGUGGUUUAAUUCGAUGCAACGCGAAGAACCUUACCUACCCUUGACAUCCAGAGAAGUUGGCAGAGAUGCCUUCGUGCCUUCGGGAACUCUGAGACAGGUGCUGCAUGGCUGUCGUCAGCUCGUGUUGUGAAAUGUUGGGUUAAGUCCCGUAACGAGCGCAACCCUUGUCCUUAUUUGCCAGCGAGUAAAGUCGGGAACUCUAAGGAGACUGCCGGUGACAAACCGGAGGAAGGUGGGGACGACGUCAAGUCAUCAU
Molecule: ribosomal RNA, 820 nt
Filed under: Halomonas sp. P1-14C
Lineage: Bacteria; Pseudomonadati; Pseudomonadota; Gammaproteobacteria; Oceanospirillales; Halomonadaceae
Description: bacterial SSU rRNA
Rfam family: Bacterial small subunit ribosomal RNA
Source: RNAcentral